This is a non-coding RNA of Pelobates cultripes (western spadefoot toad), 276 nucleotides long. NCBI's taxonomy places the organism in Eukaryota, Metazoa, Chordata, Amphibia, Anura, Pelobatidae. The record is from the annotation of a GenBank genome assembly.
GGCUGUGUGUGAGUGUAUGUAUUGUGAUGUAUGGACUGUUGGGCUGUGUAUGAGUGUGUGAGUGUAUGUAUUGUGAUGUAUGGGCAGUUGGGCUGUGUAUGAGUGUGUGAGUGUAUGUAUUGUGAUGUAUGGACUGUUGGGCUGUGUAUGAGUGUGUGAGUGUAUGUAUUGUGAUGUAUGGGCAGUUGGGCUGUGUGUGAGUGUAUGUAUUGUGAUGUAUGGGCAGUUGGGCUGUGUGUGAGUGUGUGAGUGUAUGUAUUGUGAUGUAUGGGCAGU